UGGGGAAUUUUGGACAAUGGGCGCAAGCCUGAUCCAGCAAUGCCGCGUGCAGGAUGAAGGCCUUCGGGUUGUAAACUGCUUUUGUACGGAGCGAAAAGGUCUGCCCUAAUACGGUGGGCUCAUGACGGUACCGUAAUAAUAAGCACCGGCUAACUACGUGCCAGCAGCCGCGGUAAUACGUAGGGUGCGAGCGUUAAUCGGAAUUACUGGGCGUAAAGCGUGCGCAGGCGGUUAUAUAAGACAGAGGUGAAAUCCCCGGGCUCAACCUGGGACCUGCAUUUGUGACUGUAUAGCUAGAGUACGGUAGAGGGGGAUGGAAUUCCGCGUGUAGCAGUGAAAUGCGUAGAUAUGCGGAGGAACACCGAUGGCGAAGGCAAUCCCCUGGACCUGUACUGACGCUCAUGCACGAAAGCGUGGGGAGCAAACA
RNAcentral lists this ribosomal RNA (427 nucleotides) under uncultured bacterium. Its description in RNAcentral is "bacterial SSU rRNA". It matches the Rfam family "Bacterial small subunit ribosomal RNA", at positions 355 to 774 of the family's 1533-position model. The record is from RNAcentral.